CAGUUCGGAUUGUAGGCUGCAACUCGCCUACAUGAAGUCGGAGUUGCUAGUAAUCGCGGAUCAGAAUGCCGCGGUGAAUGCGUUCCCGGGUCUUGUACACACCGCCCCGUCACACCAUGGAAGGUUGGGGGCGCCCGAAGUUGCCUAAGAAAUAAGGUACCUAAGGCGAAACCAAUGACUGGGGUGAAGUCGUAACAAGGUAGC
This 204-nucleotide ribosomal RNA is filed under the name uncultured bacterium. Its description in RNAcentral is "partial 16S ribosomal RNA". It matches the Rfam family "Bacterial small subunit ribosomal RNA", at positions 1289 to 1500 of the family's 1533-position model. The record is from RNAcentral.